UUCUGAUGAUAAAAAACCCAAACAUACGACAUCGAAACAAAAAAAGGUUGAUUAACCAUGAUUCUUAAUGAUAGGACUGA
Molecule: small nucleolar RNA, 80 nt
Filed under: Drosophila ananassae
Lineage: Eukaryota; Metazoa; Arthropoda; Insecta; Diptera; Drosophilidae
Description: snoRNA:GF26171
Source: RNAcentral